RNAcentral lists this non-coding RNA (131 nucleotides) under Fragilariopsis kerguelensis. The record is from RNAcentral. Lineage: Eukaryota; Bacillariophyta; Bacillariophyceae; Bacillariales; Bacillariaceae.
GGAUCGAAUAAUAGUAAUAACAAUAAUAAGAAGAAGAAUAUCGCAAGAAGAUUGUAUUCUUCCUCUACUCCUUUUGUUACUACAUCUUCUUCUUCUUUUUUUUUAUUUUUCUUCCAUUGAUUUUAUUGAAU